UUCGGGUUGUAAACCUCUUUUAGUAGGGAAGAAGCGACUGGGUUUUCCUGGGAGUGACGGUACCUGCAGAAAAAGCACCGGCUAACUACGUGCCAGCAGCCGCGGUAAUACGUAGGGUGCAAGCGUUGUCCGGAAUUAUUGGGCGUAAAGAGCUCGUAGGCGGUUUGUCGCGUCUGCUGUGAAAACCCGAGGCUCAACCUCGGGCCUGCAGUGGGUACGGGCAGACUAGAGUGCGGUAGGGGAGAUUGGAAUUCCUGGUGUAGCGGUGGAAUGCGCAGAUAUCAGGAGGAACACCAAUGGCGAAGGCAGAUCUCUGGGCCGUAACUGACGCUGAGGAGCGAAAGCAUGGGGAGCGAACAGGAUUAGAUACCCUGGUAGUCCAUGCCGUAAACGUUGGGAACUAGAUGUGGGGACCAUUCCACGGUCUCCGUGUCGCAGCUAACGCAUUAAGUUCCCCGCCUGGGGAGUACGGCCGCAAGGCUAAAACUCAAAGGAAUUGACGGGGGCCGCACAAGCGGCGGAGCAUGCGGAUUAAUUCGAUGCAACGCGAAGACCCUUACCAAGGCUUGACAUAUACCGGAAACGGCUGGAAACAGUCGCCCCGCAAGGUCGGUAUACAGGUGGUGCAUGGUUGUCGUCAGCUCGUGUCGUGAGAUGUUGGGUUAAGUCCCGCAACGAGCGCAACCCUCGUCCUAUGUUGCCAGCACGUAAUGGUGGGAACUCAUGGGAUACUGCCGGGGUCAACUCGGAGGAAGGUGGGGAUGACGUCAAAUCAUCAUGCCCCUUAUGUCUUGGGCUUCACGCAUGCUACAAUGGCCGGUACAAAGGGCUUCGAUACCGCACCCCCGGAGCGAAUCCCAAAAAGCCGGUCUCAGUUCGGAUUGAGGUCUGCAACUCGACCUCAUGAAGUCGGAGUCGCUAGUAAUCGCAGAUCAGCAACGCUGCGGUGAAUACGUUCCCGGGCCUUGUACACACCGC
RNAcentral lists this ribosomal RNA (978 nucleotides) under uncultured Cryobacterium sp. Its description in RNAcentral is "bacterial SSU rRNA". It matches the Rfam family "Bacterial small subunit ribosomal RNA", at positions 417 to 1393 of the family's 1533-position model. Lineage: Bacteria; Bacillati; Actinomycetota; Actinomycetes; Micrococcales; Microbacteriaceae. The record is from RNAcentral.